UUGGGUGAACAGGCGGAGGGAUCAUUACCGAGUUUACAACUCCCAAACCCAAUGUGAACCAUACCAAACUGUUGCCUCGGCGGGGUCACGCCCCGGGUGCGUCGCAGCCCCGGAACCAGGCGCCCGCCGGAGGGACCAACCAAACUCUUUACUGUAGUCCCCUCGCGGACGUUAUUUCUUACAGCUCUGAGCAAAAAAUUCAAAAUGAAUCAAAACUUUCAACAACGGAUCUCUUGGUUCUGGCAUCGAUGAAGAACGCAGCGAAAUGCGAUAAGUAAUGUGAAUUGCAGAAUUCAGUGAAUCAUCGAAUCUUUGAACGCACAUUGCGCCCGCCAGUAUUCUGGCGGGCAUGCCUGUCCGAGCGUCAUUUCAACCCUCGAACCCCUCCGGGGGGUCGGCGUUGGGGAUCGGGAACCCCUCAGACGGGAUCCCGGCCCCGAAAUACAGUGGCGGUCUCGCCGCAGCCUCUCCUGCGCAGUAGUUUGCACAACUCGCACCGGGAGCGCGGCGCGUCCACGUCCGUAAAACACCCAACUUUCUGAAAUGUUGACCUCGGAUCAGGUAGGAAUACCCGCUGAACUUAAGCAUAUCAAUAA
This 596-nucleotide ribosomal RNA is filed under the name Trichoderma erinaceum. RNAcentral's name for it is "eukaryotic LSU rRNA". The stretch from base 214 to 367 matches the Rfam family "5.8S ribosomal RNA". Lineage: Eukaryota; Fungi; Ascomycota; Sordariomycetes; Hypocreales; Hypocreaceae. The record is from RNAcentral.